This 326-nucleotide ribosomal RNA is filed under the name uncultured bacterium. RNAcentral describes it as "bacterial SSU rRNA". It matches the Rfam family "Bacterial small subunit ribosomal RNA", at positions 568 to 898 of the family's 1533-position model. The record is from RNAcentral.
UGCGUAGGCGGUCUUUCAAGUCCUUGUUUAAAUGUCACGGCUUAACCGUGAAAUUAGCAAGGAUACUGAUUGACUUUGAGGAUUGUUCGGGGUACUGGAACAGUUGGUGUAGCGGUGAAAUGCGUUGAUAUCAACUGGAACACCGAAGGCGAAGGCAAGUACCUGGGAUUCUCCUGACGCUGAGGCACGAAAGCUAGGGUAGCGAAACAGAUUAGAGACCUGUGUAGUCCUAGCCGUAAACUAUCCCCGCUAGAUUCCGGUCGUAAGAUCGGAGUCGAAGUUAACACAUUAAGCGGGGCGCCUGGGGAGUACGGCCGCAGGCUAAA